ACGGAAGCUAAAAGAGAUGAAGAAAUUUGCUUGAGCCGAACCAAGGAGAGAACACUCACUCUUGCCACCUUCUGAUGUGGACAGUGGAUGAAGAAGAACCUCCCAAAUAUGUAAAGUCAAAGCUGCAGGGGGCAAUGGACGAAGAAAAUACUCACUGAGAGCAGAACAAGAGGCUGGUUAACCCAAACAACUAAUACAUCAGCAGGAUGGAGAGUAUUCACCAUUUCUACCCAGGAGAAUUUGAGAUUUACUGUGAGCCAGAAACAGCUGGGUGCUUUUCAGUUUUUAUGUUUCUGAAUGGGAGUUUUUGUUGCAGUUAUCCUGUCCCUACUCCACCAUUAUAUAUCAGGACAAAGGAAGAUAUGUAACUUGUAAGUUUGUAAGUUGAUGCCAGAGCACAAGGAGCCACUUCCAGACCUGAAAGAGAAGACUAUAUUUCACUCCAGUCCUGGAUUUUCAGCUGCAGCAGUAACUGAAUAAGAUUUUAUGUGGGCCCCCUUGAAGAGGAUUUGAGUGUAUUUAUGAAGAAAGAUGAGGGUGCAUGGACACCUGGGUUGUUAGAAGGGCAAACUGACAGACUGAUACCUAUCCAUUGUUAUUAAUUAUCCCCUAGUCCACUUACUAAUAGAACCCCACGAGUCUUAUCGGAACACAGAACUGCUCAGCUAGAUGCAACAUUUUGCAACCUACUCAGAGGAGAAUACAAGUUUGAGAUGGAUGAGUAAUCUGCUGAAGAUCACUGAAUGAAUGUGCAAGGAAACCAUAACAUAAAUCCAUGUCUCUUUCUACUACUCAAUUUUUUCCUGUUACUAAUAUCAUUUUUAAAAAUAAUAUUUAUGGGGUUACAAUUUAUGUUUAAUAAGCUUUACCCAUUUUACCACGUUAUGACCCAACAAGAAAGCCUUCACCAGAUGCGGCCACUUGAUGUUGAACUUCCCAGCCUCUAGAACCACAAGGUCAGCAUAAUAUUUUUCAAACUCAUGCAUGCUCCUGCAUAUAUCAAUAGCUCAUUUGUUUUUAUUGCUGAGUAUUAUUCCAUGGAAUGAAAAUGACAUGACAUCUGUUCAUCCAUUCACUUGUUAAUAGACAUUUAAUUUGCUUCUAAGUUUUGGCUAGAAUAAAUACAAUUUUUAUGAAUAUGCAUGUGCAAGCCUUUGUGUGAACAGUUAUCUUCAUUUAUCUUGGGUAAAUAUCCAGGAGUGCAAUUGCUAAGCCAUUUGGUUCAUAAAAAUUUACUUCAAUAAGACACUGAUAAAUUCUAUUUCAAAGUAGUUGUACCCUUUAAAAUCUUCACCAGAAGUGUAUGAGAGUUCCAUUUGCUCUACAACCUUGCCAAUUUUUUUAGCGUGAGUUUUUUUUAGCAGUUCUAAUAAGUAUUUAUAAUGCUGAACAUCUUUUUCAUAUGUUUAUGGCUAUGUCACUUAUAUAGCUUCUUUUGUAAAAUAUCUGUUCAAAUUUUUCUCCUCUUUAUUGCUUUGGUUAAAAAAUCUUCUUAUUGCAGUGUGUCUGUUUUACAUUUAUAUAUUUUGGAUUCAAGUUUUUUUUUUCAAAUACAUGCAUAACAAAUUUUUUUCACAUUCUGUGUCUUGUUUUUUCAUUUUCCUAAUGAUGUCUUUUUAAAAGAGUGUAAUGUUUGUAAAUCCCAAUUAAUUAAUAUAUUUAAUAGUUAUGUUUCUCUGUUCUAUUUAAGAAAUAUUUGCCUAUACCAGGAUUGUAAAAAUCUUUUUUAUUCUAGAAAUUCUAUAAUUUUAGCAUAUAUACUUAGGUCUAUGAUUCAUGUCAAAUCUAUUUUUAUGUAUGGCAUGGGACGAUUAAUAGAUAUUCAUUUUCUUCCAGAUAGAAUCCUGUUGUUCUAGCAAUAUUUGCUUAAAAGUAAUUUGUUGAAAAUCAGUUGACCAUAUACAUGUGCGGCUAUUCCUAGGCUUUUUAUUCUGUUGCAAAAAAAUUACCUGAAAAUGUCCCAAAUUUCUUGAAAAACAUUUAUUGCAUUAACUACAUCUUCUUCCACCUCCAUUCCACUGUUAAGUUCAUCCAAUAAAUUUGUUGUUACACCUAACA
Molecule: long non-coding RNA, 2058 nt
Filed under: Homo sapiens (human)
Lineage: Eukaryota; Metazoa; Chordata; Mammalia; Primates; Hominidae
Description: HSALNT0179561
Source: RNAcentral